GGAUUAGAUACCCUGGUAGUCCACGCCGUAAACGAUGAGCACUAGUUGUUGCGGGUAUUGACCCCUGCAGUGACGACGCUAACGCAUUAAGUGCUCCGCCUGGGGACUACGGCCGCAAGGCUAAAACUCAAAGGAAUUGACGGGGGCCCGCACAAGCGGUGGAGUAUGUGUUUAAUUCGACUACGCGCAGAACCUUACCCGGCCUUGACAUCGAGGGAAAGCCCUAUGAAAGUAGGGCCCUCACCUUCGGGUGACCCAAAGACAGGUGCUGCAUGGCUGUCGUCAGCUCGUGCCG
Molecule: ribosomal RNA, 295 nt
Filed under: uncultured bacterium
Lineage: Bacteria
Description: partial 16S ribosomal RNA
Rfam family: Bacterial small subunit ribosomal RNA
Source: RNAcentral